This 519-nucleotide small RNA is filed under the name Pan troglodytes (chimpanzee). Its description in RNAcentral is "processed transcript". Lineage: Eukaryota; Metazoa; Chordata; Mammalia; Primates; Hominidae. The record is from RNAcentral.
GGGAGCGGCAGUCGGGGACGCCUCAACUCGUUCACUCAGGGAAUCCUGCCCAUCGCCUUCUCCAGGCCGACUUCGCAGAACUACUGCUCCCUGGAGCAGCCAGGCCAGGGCGGCAGCACCAGCGCCUUCGAGCAGCUGCAGAGGUCCCGACGGCGCCUCAUCUCCCAGAGAUCUUCCUUGGAGACCCUGGAAGAUAUUGAGGAGAACGCCCCUCUCCGGAGAUGUCGAACUCUCUCAGGUUCACCCAGACCAAAGAAUUUUAAGAAGAUUCAUUUUAUCAAGAACAUGCGGCAACACGAUACCAGGAAUGGCAGCUCCUGAGUCUCCUUGGGACCCCUGAUGAGCACAGCCCAGCCUCUCAGUCUGCAGGCCAGAUCCACGGCUCAUUUGCUCUUCUGACCCUGAAAACCCUGGCAUGGAGGCUCCCGCGUCCCCAGACCUGCUGACCGUGUGAUAGAGGCCCCAGUAUUGAGGAGGAUAUGGACUUCUCGUCUCAGCAAGGACCAGAGUGCAGCUCGA